UCACACUAUAAUACCAGAGGGAUAUUUUGAUCCUGAUGAAAGUCCUCAAUGCAGGACUGAAACGUCAACCGUUUUUUUAACUAUAUACCAAUAAACUUUGGACUUUUAAUACCGAGAGUGCUGCUACCUACCUACUACAAAUGGAUACUAAUAACCAUGGUUUGCUAGCACCUGGGCAAUAAGGGACUUCAAGUGUGAGUGCAAGAGAUUUUUAUUCA
Molecule: non-coding RNA, 218 nt
Organism: Pelobates cultripes (western spadefoot toad)
Lineage: Eukaryota; Metazoa; Chordata; Amphibia; Anura; Pelobatidae
Source: the annotation of a GenBank genome assembly